This 254-nucleotide ribosomal RNA is filed under the name uncultured bacterium. RNAcentral describes it as "partial 16S ribosomal RNA". It matches the Rfam family "Bacterial small subunit ribosomal RNA", at positions 524 to 776 of the family's 1533-position model. The record is from RNAcentral.
CACGUAGGCACCAAGCGUUGUCCGGAUUUAUUGGGCGUAAAGAGCUCGUGGGCGGUUCGGUAAGUCGGGUGUGAAAACUUUGGGCUCAACCCAAAGCGUGCACUCGAUACUGCCAUGACUAGAGUUCGGUAGGGGAGUGGGGAAUUCCUAGUGUAGCGGUGAAAUGCGCAGAUAUUAGGAGGAACACCGGUGGCGAAGGCGCCACUCUGGGCCGAAACUGACGCUGAGGAGCGAAAGCGUGGGUAGCAAACAGG